GGCACCACCUUCCUCCAGCACCUCAUGGAGUUCGAGUGGAAGACCUCGAAAUAACACUCAGACACACACACACACACACACACACACUCAGACACACACACACACACACACACACACACACGUCACCACCUUCCUCCAGCACCUCAUGGAGUUCGAGUGGAAGACCUCGAAAUAAAUAACACUCACACACACACUCACACACACACAGCGCCACCUUCCUCCAGCACCUCAUGGAGUUCGAGUGGAAGACCUCGAAAUAAAUAACACUCAGACACACACACUCACACACACUCACACACACACACACACACACAGGGCACCACCUUCCUCCAGCACCUCAUGGAGUUCGAGUGGAAGACCUCGAAAUAAAUAACACUCAGACACACACACAUGGCACCACCUUCCUCCAGCACCUCAUGGAGUUUGAGUGGAAGACCUCAAAAUAACACUCAGAUACACACACACACACACGGCACCACCUUCCUCCAGCACCUCAUGGAGUUUGAGUGGAAGACCUCAAAAUAACACUCAGAUAUACACACACACACACACUCACACGUCACCACCUUCCUCCAGAACCUCAUGGGGUUUGAGUGGAAGACCUCAAAAUAAAUAACACACAGACACACACCAGCACACGCACACCCAGCAGACACGCAAUGCAAAUAUAACCUUGUUAUUUUUUCUCCCUCAUUUGUGAUGGUUGAACCUUGAAUUAAAUGUUAUUAAAUGAAUAAAAAGAAAGAAAAUAGACUUUGUUUUUAUUACAAUCUUGGAAUUAAAAGGACUAUAAAUAUUUUAAUUUUUUAAUUCUUUUUAACAACAUUUAACAGUAAGCCAAUGCGUCAGUUCAUUCCAGUAGUAAUUAAAACCUGAUUACAGUGGAGCUUUCUUGCUGUAAAACUGAUUGCAGUAGCUACUGUAAAGCCAAAAUGUUGAAACUUUCUGCCAACAGUAUCCAGGGGCUGCCGAUCUGAAGAUUGAAGGGGUGGAACACUUUCCCUUGAACUGAUUCUUGGUCUCAACCUGUUAUGUAUAUAUGGAAAGCUUAUUAAUAAAUUGCAAUAAACUGGCUUGUCACAACUGUAUGGGAGAAAGAGUUGAAGACUUGUGGUGUUGAGAUUCAUUGAGACUCUGUGUGGUUUAAUGUGUUUUCGUCAUCCAAAAAUCCAGCACCCCAGCUGAUACACUGGAAACGUAUUCACAAAGCUUAUGUGAAUCCUUCAAAAACAUACCAAGUGAAGCUGAUGCAGUCUCCUAAUUGUACUAAAUGUGUAUUGUGGAAUAAAAGGUAACAUAAAUACA
Molecule: long non-coding RNA, 1305 nt
Organism: Anguilla anguilla (European eel)
Lineage: Eukaryota; Metazoa; Chordata; Actinopteri; Anguilliformes; Anguillidae
Exons: 2
Source: RefSeq, a predicted model, not a curated record